GACGAACGCUGGCGGCAUGCCUAACACAUGCAAGUCGAACGGAACUUGUUGAAGGAAGUUUUCGGAUGGAAUUUGACAAGUUUAGUGGCGGACGGGUGAGUAACGCGUGAGCAACCUGCCUUUCAGAGGGGGACAACAGUUGGAAACGACUGCUAAUACCGCAUAACGUAUCGGGAUCGCAUGAUCCUGAUACCAAAGAUUUAUCGCUGAAAGAUGGGCUCGCGUACGAUUAGAUAGUUGGUGAGGUAACGGCUCACCAAGUCGACGAUCAGUAGCCGGACUGAGAGGUUGAACGGCCACAUUGGGACUGAGACACGGCCCAGACUCCUACGGGAGGCAGCAGUGGGGAAUAUUGGGCAAUGGACGCAAGUCUGACCCAGCAACGCCGCGUGAAGGAAGAAGGUCUUCGGAUUGUAAACUUCUGUUUUUAGUGAAGAAACAAAUGACGGUAGCUAAAGAGGAAGCCACGGCUAACUACGUG
This 481-nucleotide ribosomal RNA is filed under the name uncultured bacterium. RNAcentral's name for it is "bacterial SSU rRNA". It matches the Rfam family "Bacterial small subunit ribosomal RNA", at positions 28 to 507 of the family's 1533-position model. The record is from RNAcentral.